This 270-nucleotide unclassified non-coding RNA is filed under the name fungal sp. RNAcentral describes it as "partial internal transcribed spacer region". The stretch from base 1 to 46 matches the Rfam family "Eukaryotic small subunit ribosomal RNA", at positions 1786 to 1831 of the family's 1831-position model. The record is from RNAcentral. Lineage: Eukaryota; Fungi.
AAGUCGUAACAAGGUUUCCGUAGGUGAACCUGCGGAAGGAUCAUUACCGAGUAAUUGGUCGCUAUUUUUAAUGGCACCAACUCCCACCCUAGUGUUUACUAUAACUUAUUAUCUUUGGCAAAGCGUUUUUGCUUAAUGUUAAAACCAUUGAUAGGGAUAAUCUAUGAAUGUGUCUUUGCCAAAGUAAUUACUACUCUUACUUUUUAAUGAUUGUCUGAGUUAUAAAAUAAAAUGAAUUUAAAACUUUCAACAACGGAUCUCUUGGUUCUG